This 253-nucleotide ribosomal RNA is filed under the name uncultured bacterium. RNAcentral describes it as "partial 16S ribosomal RNA". It matches the Rfam family "Bacterial small subunit ribosomal RNA", at positions 524 to 776 of the family's 1533-position model. The record is from RNAcentral.
UACGUAGGGUGCGAGCGUUAAUCGGAAUUACUGGGCGUAAAGCGUGCGCAGGCGGUUUUGUAAGCCAGAUGUGAAAUCCCCGGGCUUAACCUGGGAAUGGCAUUUGGGACUGCAAGGCUGGAGUUUGGCAGAGGAAGGUGGAAUUCCACGUGUAGCGGUGAAAUGCGUAGAGAUGUGGAGGAACACCAAUGGCGAAGGCAGCCUUCUGGGCCAACACUGACGCUCAUGCACGAAAGCGUGGGGAGCAAACAGG